GGUCGCAUAGCUCAGGGGUUAGAGCGAUUGCUUUACAUCGCCGCAUCGCGUGCGCAAUAGGUCGCAGGUUCGAUCCCUGCUGCGAUCA
RNAcentral lists this transfer RNA (88 nucleotides) under Ophiocordyceps unilateralis. It matches the Rfam family "tRNA". From Rfam's summary of the family: Transfer RNA (tRNA) molecules are approximately 80 nucleotides in length. Their secondary structure includes four short double-helical elements and three loops (D, anti-codon, and T loops). Further hydrogen bonds mediate the characteristic L-shaped molecular structure. tRNAs have two regions of fundamental functional importance: the anti-codon, which is responsible for specific mRNA codon recognition, and the 3' end, to which the tRNAs corresponding amino acid is attached (by aminoacyl-tRNA synthetases). tRNAs cope with the degeneracy of the genetic code in two manners: having more than one tRNA (with a specific anti-codon) for a particular amino acid; and 'wobble' base-pairing, i.e. permitting non-standard base-pairing at the 3rd anti-codon position. The record is from Rfam by way of RNAcentral. Lineage: Eukaryota; Fungi; Ascomycota; Sordariomycetes; Hypocreales; Ophiocordycipitaceae.